Phyllopteryx taeniolatus (common seadragon) is the source of this 4026-nucleotide RNA transcript. It is a transcript of the gene named zinc finger protein 771-like, with no coding region annotated. The transcript is spliced from 4 exons. NCBI's taxonomy places the organism in Eukaryota, Metazoa, Chordata, Actinopteri, Syngnathiformes, Syngnathidae. The record is from RefSeq and is a predicted model, not a curated record.
CCCGCAGUGGCUGCCGCUUGACGCCGGGGGUCCCUGCAGAGAAGCGCCCGCCCGCCCGCCCGCCUCCAUGUGCGUGUCCGCUGCGUGCUGAGAUCGCGGCGAGCUGCAUUGUGCGGCUUGGUGGUGGAGGAGGCACCGGUGGACGGUGGAGGUCCGGAGACGGAGGAGUCGAAAGUGCGAUUCGUGUGGCGUUCAGACAUCAGUGAAGAUCUUCGUCAUGUGUGUCGGGAGCCAGAGCCCCUUUACAUUAAAGAGGAAGUGGAGGAUGAAGAGCACCCCCACAUCAAAGAAGAAGAGGAAUUGAAGCUCACUUUCAUUAAAAAAGAGGCUGAAGAAGUGCACCGCCACAUCAAACAGAAAGAGGAGUGUAUCGCCAAGUUUCCAUGGACGAGUGUCCCUUUGAAGAGUGAAGAUGAAGGUCGACGUGAGGAGAGCAGAAGCAGCUCACGUCAACACAUGACAACAGAAGGUGAUGGAGACCACUGUGGAGGAUCACAGGCAGACGGCCUCUUAGCUAGAUAGUGACGACAUGACGUCUCACUCUCCUCACACUGAUGAUGAUGAUGAUAAACCGUCUGAAGGUGAUAACAAACGCUGGAAAUGUUCUCAGUGUGGGAAGACCUUUGCUUAUAAGAGCAGUUUGAAACAACACACGAGAACACACACCGGAGAGAAAGCUUUUGCCUGUUCAGAUUGUGGUAAAAGAUUCUCCUAUAAGGGAGACUUGACAAGGCACACAAGAACGCACACUGGAGAAAAACCUUUUGUCUGCUCAGUUUGUGGUCAAAGAUUCUCUGAGAACGGAAAAUUAACAGUACACGCAAGAAGACACACUGGAGAAAAACCGUUUGCUUGCUCAGUUUGUGGUCAAAAAUUAUCUGCAAAGGGCAAAUUAACAAUACACACAAGAACCCACACCGGAGACAAACCUUUUUCCUGCUCAGAUUGUGGUCAGAGAUUCACUCAGAAAGGAACCUUAAAAAUACACAAGAAUGCACACUGGAGAGAAACUUUUUUCCUGCUCAGAUUGCGGUCAGAGAUUCACUCAGAAGGGAGCCUUAAAAUUACACAAAAGAAUCCACACUGGAGAGAAACCUUUUUCCUGCUCAGUUUGUGGUCAAAGAUUCUCUCGUAAGGAUCGCCUGAAGACACACAAGUGUGCUGUUGUCAUUUUGGAGGUUGAAAAAUUCCACCUGACAACGACGAGUGUUCCCUCGUUUAUCGAGAGGGAUAGGUUCCGGAACCCGCUGAUCUCCACUUCUGCCACUGACGUCACACCAAGACAUGUAGGGUGAGGUAAUGAAGGUAAUGAAAAGGGGACUUCCAGUUUCAUUUUCUUGAGCAAAAAACCCAAAGACAACUUGUACGACGUUGUGGAAAAUCUUUGUCCAGAGCGGCAGGAGUCGGAGUCCCCCCACAUUAAAGAGGAAGAGGAGGAUGGAGAGGUUCAACAAAUCAAAGAGGAGGAGGAAGAGUUCGUACACAUUAAAGAGGAAGAGCAGGAGGAAAUCAUCAAGGUUCCUUUGACUGGGGUCCUUUUGAAGAGUGAAUAUCAAGGUCAAAGUGAGGAAAACCGAGGGGUGGCGCCUCCCAGCAGCAGCUCAAGUCGACACAUGACAACAGAAGGUGAUGGAGACCACUGUGGAGAAUCACUAGCAGAGGGACUCUUAGCUCCGCUAUCAGAUAGCGACGAGACAACGUCACACUCUUCUGACUAUGAUGAUGGUGAUGAUAAAGAACAGUCGGAACGUAGUAUGACAUGUCACACUGAUCUCAAAUGCUGGAAAUGUUCUAAGUGUGGAAGAACUUUUGCUUCAAAGAGCAAUUUGAAACAGCACGUAAAAUUACACACUGGAGAGAAGCCUUUUGCCUGUUCCGACUGUGGUAAAAGAUUCACUGUAAAGGGUAAGUUAAUAUCACACUCAAGAACCCACACUGGAGAGAAACCUUUUGCCUGCUCCGUUUGUGGUCAAAGAUUCUCUCAGAAGGGUACCUUAAAAAGUCAUACAAGAACCCACACUGGGGAGAAACCAUUCACCUGCUUAAUUUGUGGUCAAAGAUUCUCUGAGAACGGAACCUUAAAACGUCACAGAAGAACACACACUGGGGAGAAACCUUUUGCCUGUUUAGUUUGUGACCAAAGAUUCUCUGAGAAGGGAACCUUAAAACGUCACACAAGAACCCACACUGGGGAGAAACCUUUUUCCUGCUCAGUUUGUGGCAAAGGAUUCGCUCAGAAGGGAAACUUCAAAAGUCACACAAGAACACACACUCGAAAGGAACCCUUUGUUUGCUCCGUUUGUGGCCUAAGAUUCUCUCAUAAGUAUCUGGCUCAGAACCACAAGUGUGUUGAUGACAAUAGCAGUGAUCAAUGAAGGUUCUGCCUCUCAUCUGAGCAGGCUUCAUAAUUUCAUGCACCAAGGAUGAUUGUAUUCUAAUGUACCUUCUUAAAGGCCUCCAGUGGAAAAGUGUUGAAAAUUAGCACUCAUGCUAAAACACUUGUAGCAAUAUAUCUGCUUUGUCUAAUGUUUUUGUGAUGUGCAUAUCAAAUAGGAAAUCAGCAAUUAAAUGGAAAUACCUUUUGUAAUGUAUAGUAGUGGUCUGAGGGGGUGGGUUCUCCGGGGACGGAAACCACUCAGGCUUUCUAAGUUUCACCUGUGGCUCAAUGUGAAAGCCUGGGAAAAAACACCGCUUGGCAAGAUGUUUGAUUAGAUGGCGACUGGGAAAAUAAAUUAUGAAAAGAGAGGCACAGCAGGUUAGAGUGCAAAAGAAACGAGCAUAUGCAGAGUUUGCAAGGGUGGGGAAACAUUGGAGGAAAAUUAAAAGCACUAAGAAACGAGCAGAACAAAAAAGUGAGGGGUAACUGUUGGAUACAAAAAGAGUCAUAACAUUCAUUGCAGGGGUAAGAAAUGCAAUAAUGGGAAUAUAAUAAAAAACAAUACAGAUUAUAACAAGAGCAGCAGAAAAGCCUCUUGACAUAAAACAGCUAAUAUGGGAGGAGUUGAGGGAUGAUCUCAGUGCUCAGGCCAGCCAAGAGACAUCGAAUUAAGGCUAACAAAAGAUUUGACAUGGUGAUAUUGAUCGAUACAUACUGUAGAUAGAUAGUUACAGUGUGUGUUGCGACUGAAGACAUUUAUUUCAUGAUCCUACUUUUAGUUUCUAAGAGAAAAAAGAAUGAAAAAGACAAGUUACAUUUCGUUUUGCUCUUUGUUUUCCUCCCUGUACGGACAUACUCAUACCCAUAUGCCAGCACAGUCGUUGGUGACAAUGCAUCCUAAAACGUUAGAAGCCAUCCGGCGCAAAACAAAACAAAGAAGAACAAGAAGAAUGUGAGAGCCUGCGGCCGAAGGUGAUGGGGGAAGUAGACGAACAUGAGGUUUGCAAAGACGGGAGGGCGUGUCUGGUAAGAAAAGCGCAAGGACGGUGGGCGGGGCAAGCUGGAAGACGACGACGCUGUAACAGCAAGGUGACGGUUGAGAAUUUACCAGUGCCGUACCCAUGUGCUGUGUUUUGUGUUCAUAUGUGGGGGUGGCAGGGGUGGAUCUUGUAAAUGUCUUGCCAUUUAAUUGUCUCUUUUAAUUUCUGUAAUCCACUUUGUGUUGCAUUUUAAUAUAUGAGCAGUGCUAUAUGGAUAAACUUGAUUUGAUUUGAGGGCCACACCAACAUGCAAACAUCACUUCUGCUCAUAAAGAAUUCAGUGUCUUUUUGUAAUGCUGUAAAUUGUAUUUUGAUCAUCUGCUACCUGUGUAGUUAUGGUAUAUGUUAUGUUAGGAGAGGUAAUUUAAAAUAUAAAUAAAAUAAAUGUAUCUUUUUAAGCCCGUGUUAUGAAUAUUGUCUUGGCGGCCUGUGGCAACGGGCAUAUGGUCCGGGUGCAGACGGCUCCAGCUUAUUAGGUCAUGAUGGUAUCAUUUUUAACCUGUAUGUGUAUGACUGUCUGUGUCCUUGUAGUUGUCAAGCAGCAGGUGGGAUUGUUCUAAUUUCCUAUUUUAAUGAAUAUCAUGCACUUUGAGUUACUGUUACGCGUAU